Molecule: non-coding RNA, 2441 nt
Organism: Meleagris gallopavo (turkey)
Lineage: Eukaryota; Metazoa; Chordata; Aves; Galliformes; Phasianidae
Source: RefSeq, a predicted model, not a curated record
GAAAAGAGAUACAGGGAGUAGUUCUCUUGCGAGCAACCCGCUGCCCACACUGCUCACAUCCUCAGCCUAAAAAUGCUUCACUUCUUCAGAAAAUGGCCAAAAAUAAAUCAGCCUGGGGCACUGGGCUGUGAUGAGCGAUGCAGCCCACAGCAGCGAGAUGGAGAAAUUCCUCCUAUUCUUCACUUAGGAGUGAGAUUAUGGGUGAAUCGAUAACCCAGGGUGGAAAUAGGUCCAGAUAAAAGUGGUGGAAUGUGCAACAGAUUGCAUUCUCUCUUGCAGCCCUCCAGCCCAGCCCUACGAGGGGACGCCCCGUGCCAGCGUGGCAUCCUGCAUCGCUCAGCAGGGCUCUCAGGGACCGGCCAGGACCAGGACUUUGGAGCAAAUGCCAUUAUUUCCAUGCCAUCAGAAGGAGGCUGUCAAGCUCUAUGGCAUUUCAGGCUGUUGCAACAGGCUCUGCCCGGUGGACCAGCUGUGACCGCAGGCAGCAGAGGUUUAACAUCUAACUUCACUUUCAAGCCACGUGUUGCCUUCUGAAAUGUCCUUGUCUCCUUGGAGACCUGCAUGUGCUCUGCAGGGACCUGAUGGCCAAUCUGCAGGUUUCUCUAUAUCCCACUUCUCCUUAUUGUACCAUAUCCCACAGACACUGCUUCUCCAUCCAUCCCCCCACCUGCAUUAACCUCCCCUCUCCUUUUCCUCAGCAGCAGAGAUGAACCCCAUUACCCAUGGCAUCUCCCAUGCUUCCACCUCACCUGCCUCACAGGCUGAGGUGACCUUCUUUUUCCACAUUAGUCUGGCAUCUUCUAAGCUGCCAUGAGACGGUGCUGAUGAAGGAUUUCUGCUUUCCAGGAGCAAGCAUGGCCUGUAGCAAGGCUGCUAUUUGUGCUCCUCAUCCCUCCUUUCUACAAGAAAACUAACCAAAAAGAAGCAAGCAAGCAAUUCAUUUUUCAUCUGCAUCAGCCCCACAAACACCAGGGCCACCUCUCAGCUGCAGGAGCCAGGUAAUGGAGUAAUAGGACCUGCUGGAGGCAAGUUCAUAAACUGCAGGAUGUGUAACGGAUCACCUCCAGGCUCUGCCAUUGACUCACCCCAUACCUUUGCAUCGAGCAUUUCUCUGCUUCCUGGAUCUCCCAUGAUUGUACGUGCAUUGAAGGAUGACCACGGAUAUUGCAGAUCUCCAGGAGAACAGACCACCUCAUCCUGACAAACAAAUGCAUGUUUCUCUGUAAUUUUCCAACAGGAUUUGCAGUGGGUGGGCACAGACUGGAGAGCUUGGCAGAAUUUUCAGUAGGGCUGUUUGCUGCAGAAAACACUUAUUUUUAUCCUUGUAUGGAAUAAUUGUCUCCUGUGCUGAAAUCUGUGAUUUGUGCAGCCACGCUCCCUCGCUCUUCAAGCUCUGCACCAACACUCUUUGUACACCACAAAGCAAGACAUCAACGCUGGUUUAGCCAUCCUCUUCUUCAUCUCUAAAUCCCUUUUUGUAAACCUACCCCUGGCUCUUCUCAGCCAGAAUAGCACGUCUUGGAGGGCAGGUCCUACUUUGGCUGGUUGGUUGGUUGGUAACUUGUUCCCACACUGGGCAGCAACUCCCAGAGCAGAUCACCUAUCUCUGUACCUCCCUGUCCAAAAGAAGAGCUUACCUUGACAUCCCCACCCCUCUGACAUGUCCUCAGUGCCCUCUGACGUGUCCCUGAGGCACAGGAGAGGAUGGAUGGAAUGUUUUCCUCCUCACACUGCCCAGUCUCGGUCUGAUGCUGUUGUGAGUCACUGCAGGGUGGUGCAGGUGAAGGAGGGGAGGAUGUCCAGCUUCACCAGGAGCAGUGAUGAUGGUGCAAAUGCCAGGGACAGAAGAUCUGUCUGAAGAUGGAUUCCUAUUAAUUAAGCUCCUUCGGGUGUCAGGGGCACAACACUACCACCUAGAGUUGCAGGGACCGUGGACCAGAGGUGUCACCCCACGAGGAUGUUGCUUGGCCUUGCUCCACCUGAACUCCUUCAGAUGGCCCAGAGCUCCUCAUGGGAGAGGAAUGACAUCAACCAUAGCACUUGGCAUCACUGGAGAGGUGUGCCACUAACCACAACCCUUGGCUGCCUUUACAGACCUGUCCUGGGACACACUAAAGAAUACCUCUUGCUUGCUCCAAAGCCAAUAUUUCUUUCAGGUUCUCUCUUCUGGCUAAGACCAGUAACGGAGUGAGGAGUGAGGUGGAUUUCCACCCUCAUUUCCAGCUUUAACAGGAUAAAUUUGCAGGUCAAGAAGAGCUGGAGGAACCACCCAAGAGCUGUCGGUCUCAGGGUCUCUGUUUGGAUCUGCCCUGACAAGAAAUGAAUUUUCUCUGCUUGCUCAGAGCAGAGGCCAAGCAGGGAGUGAGGCCAGAACAACAAGGGGUCAUGCUGGAGUUUCUUUUUUUCCUUCACUUAACUCCGAAAUAAAAAUAUAGCUCAAG